UGGGGAGUCGUCUAAUGGCAGGACGCCUGGUUCUGGCCCAGGUAAUCGGGGUUCGAAUCCCUGCUCCCCAG
RNAcentral lists this transfer RNA (71 nucleotides) under Fidelibacterota bacterium. RNAcentral's name for it is "tRNA-Gln". It matches the Rfam family "tRNA". Rfam says of the family: Transfer RNA (tRNA) molecules are approximately 80 nucleotides in length. Their secondary structure includes four short double-helical elements and three loops (D, anti-codon, and T loops). The record is from RNAcentral. Lineage: Bacteria; Pseudomonadati; Fidelibacterota.